GACGAACGCUGGCGGCGCGCUUAACACAUGCAAGUCGAGCGAUGAAAUUUCGACAGAUUGCUUCUGGGUGAAGUUGAAAUGGAUUAGCGGCGGACUGGUGAGUAACACAUUAUUAACCUGCCUUUGACAUUGGGAUAGCCUCGGGAAACUGGGAUUAAUACCAAAUGACACUAACUGAUCACAUGAUCAAUUAGUCAAAGAAAUUCGGUCAAAGAUGGACUCGCAGCUGGUUAGCUAGAUGGUGAGGUAACGGCCCACCAAUGGGACGACCAGUAGACGGGAACAGAGGGUGAUUCGACACAUUGGAGCUGAGACACAGUGCAAAAUACUACGGGAGGCAGCAGUGCGGAAUAUAGCAAAACCGGGGAAACGAUGAAGCAGCGAGGGCGCGUGAGCGCAGAAGGCCUUAAAGAAGUACAGCUCUUUUAUGACGGACGAUAAUGACGGUACCUAAAGAAAAAGCCCCGGCUAACUUCGUG
Molecule: ribosomal RNA, 479 nt
Filed under: uncultured bacterium
Lineage: Bacteria
Description: partial 16S ribosomal RNA
Rfam family: Bacterial small subunit ribosomal RNA
Source: RNAcentral